RNAcentral lists this ribosomal RNA (253 nucleotides) under uncultured bacterium. Its description in RNAcentral is "partial 16S ribosomal RNA". It matches the Rfam family "Bacterial small subunit ribosomal RNA", at positions 524 to 776 of the family's 1533-position model. The record is from RNAcentral.
UACGGAGGGUGCAAGCGUUAUCCGGAUUCACUGGGUUUAAAGGGUGCGUAGGCGGCUUUGCAAGUUGGGUGUGAAAGCCCUCGGCUCAACCGAGGAAUUGCGCUCAAUACUGCCGAGCUUGAGAGAGACAGAGGUAAGCGGAACUAAUGGUGGAGCGGUGAAAUGCGUUGAUAUCAUUAGGAACACCGGUGGCGAAGGCGGCUUACUGGGUCUUUUCUGACGCUGAGGCACGAAAGCCAGGGGAGCGAACGGG